Bos taurus (domestic cattle) is the source of this 380-nucleotide long non-coding RNA. Lineage: Eukaryota; Metazoa; Chordata; Mammalia; Artiodactyla; Bovidae. The record is from Ensembl.
CAGGGGCCCAGAGAUCAUCGUCCAUGGGGGUAUGGGGGGGCCCAGGGUUGUGCAGAGAAGUGGGGAGAGGCAGGAGCCAAAUCCAGGGACCUGGAGGAAGAGGGAGUUCCAUGGAGGAAGCUGGGACCCAGUGUCCCAUCCCCCAACCAGGUACCACAGUCACUCGGGAGUUCGUGAUGGACAGGGAGGCCUGGCGUGCUGUGAUUCAUGGGGUCACAAGGAGUCGGACACAACUGAGUGACUGAACUGAAUUGAACUGUGUAUAAUGCAAAGACCUUGCUGCUGUGCUAUGCUCAGUUGUGUCUGACUCGUUCCCACGCCAUGGACUAUAGCCAGCUAGGCUCCUCUGUCCAUGGAAUUUUCCAGGCAAGGAUACUGAA